UACGGAGGUGGCAAGCGUUGCUCGGAAUCACUGGGCGUAAAGGGCGCGUAGGCGGGGAGGUAAGUCGGGUGUGAAAUCCCUCGGCCCAACCGAGGAACUGCGCCCGAGACUGCUUCUCUUGAGUCCCGGAGAGGAAGAUGGAAUUCCCGGUGUAGCGGUGAAAUGUGUAGAGAUCGGGAGGAGCACCGGUGGCGAAGGCGGUCUUCUGGACGGUGACUGACGCUGAGGCGCGAAAGCGUGGGGAGCAAACGGG
RNAcentral lists this ribosomal RNA (253 nucleotides) under uncultured bacterium. RNAcentral describes it as "partial 16S ribosomal RNA". It matches the Rfam family "Bacterial small subunit ribosomal RNA", at positions 524 to 776 of the family's 1533-position model. The record is from RNAcentral.